RNAcentral lists this ribosomal RNA (575 nucleotides) under uncultured bacterium. RNAcentral's name for it is "bacterial SSU rRNA". It matches the Rfam family "Bacterial small subunit ribosomal RNA", at positions 347 to 916 of the family's 1533-position model. The record is from RNAcentral.
GGCAGCAGUGGGGACGUUGGACAAUGGGCGCAAGCCUGAUUCAGCAUAAGAGGGGGGGAAGAAGGCCUGAGGGUUGUGAAGCACUUUCAAUAGAGACGAAAAGCCUAGGGUUAAUAGCUCUGGGUCUUGACUUAACCUAUAGAAGAAGCACCGGCUAACUCCGUGCCAGCAGCCGCGGUAAUACGGAGGGUGCAAGCGUUAAUCGGAAUUACUGGGCGUAAAGCGCUCGUAGGCGGUUUGUUAAGUCGGAUGUGAAAGCCCCGGGCUCAACCUGGGAACUGCAUUCGAUACUGGCAAACUAGAGUAUACAAGAGGCAAGUGGAAUUCCAGGUGUAUCUGUGACCUGCGUACACAUAAAGAAAAACAACAGUGGGGAACGCCCCCUGUAGGGCUAACUCUGAUGGUGGGGAGAAAACAUGUGCCGCGGACACGAGAAUAUAUCCCCCUGGGCUACACGAAAGAAAAUAAUUCAACCAGACGUUUGGGGUUUUAGCUCAUUAGAGGUGCUUCCUCCUCAAUACGUCGGCCCCCUGAAGACUCCCGCCCCCGUGAAAAAUUCUCUAAAGCAGCGCCGG